This 465-nucleotide ribosomal RNA is filed under the name Vreelandella stevensii. Its description in RNAcentral is "partial 16S ribosomal RNA". It matches the Rfam family "Bacterial small subunit ribosomal RNA", at positions 338 to 795 of the family's 1533-position model. The record is from RNAcentral. Lineage: Bacteria; Pseudomonadati; Pseudomonadota; Gammaproteobacteria; Oceanospirillales; Halomonadaceae.
CCUACGGGUGGCAGCAGUGGGGAAUAUUGGACAAUGGGCGAAAGCCUGAUCCAGCCAUGCCGCGUGUGUGAAGAAGGCCUUCGGGUUGUAAAGCACUUUCAGUGGGGAAGAAAGCCUUGGGGCUAAUACCCUCGAGGAAGGACAUCACCCACAGAAGAAGCACCGGCUAACUCCGUGCCAGCAGCCGCGGUAAUACGGAGGGUGCGAGCGUUAAUCGGAAUUACUGGGCGUAAAGCGCGCGUAGGCGGUCUGAUAAGCCGGUUGUGAAAGCCCCGGGCUCAACCUGGGAACGGCAUCCGGAACUGUCAGGCUAGAGUGCAGGAGAGGAAGGUAGAAUUCCCGGUGUAGCGGUGAAAUUCGUAGAGAUCGGGAGGAAUACCAGUGGCGAAGGCGGCCUUCUGGACUGACACUGACGCUGAGGUGCGAAAGCGUGGGUAGCAAACAGGAUUAGAUACCCCAGUAGUC